RNAcentral lists this ribosomal RNA (426 nucleotides) under Morganella morganii. RNAcentral's name for it is "partial 23S ribosomal RNA". It matches the Rfam family "Bacterial large subunit ribosomal RNA", at positions 167 to 631 of the family's 2925-position model. The record is from RNAcentral. Lineage: Bacteria; Pseudomonadati; Pseudomonadota; Gammaproteobacteria; Enterobacterales; Morganellaceae.
UAGGGUAAUGAAGCGAACCGGGAGAACUGAAACAUCUAAGUACCCCGAGGAAAAGAAAUCAAACGAGAUUCCCCCAGUAGCGGCGAGCGAACGGGGAGCAGCCCAGGACCUUAAUCAGCAUCAGUGUUAAGAGAACAGUCUGGAAAGGCUGGCCACAGCAGGUGAUAGCCCUGUAUCUGAAAGCACUGGUGUUGUGAGUCCGAUGAGUAAGGCGGGACACGUGUUAUCCUGUCUGAAUACGGGGGGACCAUCCUCCAAGGCUAAAUACUCCUGACUGACCGAUAGUGAACCAGUACCGUGAGGGAAAGGCGAAAAGAACCCCGGCGAGGGGAGUGAAAAAGAACCUGAAACCGUGUACGUACAAGCAGUGGGAGCACCCUUCGGGGUGUGACUGCGUACCUUUUGUAUAAUGGGUCAGCGACUUAU